RNAcentral lists this ribosomal RNA (523 nucleotides) under uncultured bacterium. RNAcentral describes it as "bacterial SSU rRNA". It matches the Rfam family "Bacterial small subunit ribosomal RNA", at positions 355 to 893 of the family's 1533-position model. The record is from RNAcentral.
UGGGGAAUCUUGGACAAUGGGGGCAACCCUGAUCCAGCCAUGCCGCGUGAGUGAUGAAGGCCUUAGGGUCGUAAAGCUCUUUCGCCUGUGAAGAUAAUGACGGUAGCAGGUAAAGAAACCCCGGCUAACUCCGUGCCAGCAGCCGCGGUAAUACGGAGGGGGUUAGCGUUGUUCGGAAUUACUGGGCGUAAAGCGCACGUAGGCGGACCAGAAAGUUGGGGGUGAAAUCCCGGGGGCUCAACCCCGGAACUGCCUCCAAAACUAUUGGUCUAGAGUUCGAGAGAGGUGAGUGGAAUUCCAAGUGUAGAGGUGAAAUUCGUAGAUAUUUGGAGGAACACCAGUGGCGAAGGCGGCUCACUGGCUUGAUACUGACGCUGAGGUGCGAAAGUGUGGGGAGCAAACAGGAUUAGAUACCCUGGUAGUCCACGCCGUAAAACGAUGUCUGCUAGUCGUUGGGGAGCAUAGCUCUUCGGUGACGCAGCUAACGCAUUAAGCAGACCGCCUGGGGAGUACGGCCGCAAGG